GUGCUCAAAAUCAGUGACAAGGGUACGCUAGAGCUUCUCAGUGUUAGCAAUACCUCAGUUUGGUCAUCCCAAUCCUCCAAACCAGGGACAAAUAUGAAUCCAGUGGCACAGCUUUUGGAUUCUGGAAAUUUUGUCAUCAGAGAUGAUGUCAGUGGCGACAUCAUUUGGCAAAGCUUUGAUCAUCCUGGAGACACUUGGCUACCGGGAAUGAAAAUCGGUGUGGACCUUGUAACGGGCAGAAAAAGGAACUUGACAUCAUGGAAGAGUUCUGAUGAUCCUUCAUCAGGUUCGUAUACAGUUUGGAUGGACAUCAGUGGAUAUCCACAAUUAUAUACUAUGAAAGAUGAAUCAAGUUUCCAACAGAGGGUUGGAUUUUGGAAUGGACAAGGGUUUACUGGAAUGCUGGGUGUAGGACCAAACAGCUUAUAUGCGUUUGACUUUGUUUUUACUCGCGAGGAGAUUUACUCCAAAUACACAGGAUUUAACAGUUCAAUUCUUACUAGGAUGAUACUCCAUCAACAGGGCAGUUUCACGCAGUUGGUGUGGAUGCCUAGAAUGCAAGCAUGGAAUGUAUAUAUGAUUGUAGCUCGUGAUAUCUGUGACCGCUACGAUUUAUGUGGUCCUUAUGGAAGCUGUAACAUCAACCGUUCGCCAGCGUGUGCGUGUUUACAAGGAUUUGAACCCAAGUUGCCAGAAGAAUGGUCUGCUGCAAAAUGGUCAAAUGGGUGUAAGCAUAACAUCACUACUACCGAUAAAAAUGGGUUCAUUAAGUUUACAAACCUGAAAUUGCCCGACUCACGGGAUUCAUGGUUCAAUAGCACCAUGUCCCUUGAGGAAUGUGGGAUCCUUUGCAGUCGCAACGUCUCUUGUACAGCUUAUGCAAAUAUUGAUGUUAGAGAAGGCGGAAGUGGAUGUUUACAGUGGUCAACUGAGCUGCUUGAUAUCAGAGAGGCUUCGGAAACAGAUUCCUCAGGGCAAAACAUCUACAUAAAAAAGCCCACCACCAACAACUUAAUUCGUAAGUGCAUUUGUCAUUCACUCAUUACAUUGCUUAUGUUUCGCUUGGAUGCUUGAUUUUAUUUCUAAUCAUGUUAAUGUAAGCUCAUUCCUGUUACUGACUACAACUACCACCACUAACGUUUUGAAUGGGUAAAAAGCAGACAAGAAGAAGUCGAACACGAGUCUUAAAGUGGCCAUGUCAAUAGUACUCACAGUCGUUAUGCUUGGCUUUGCACUGAUACUAUAUGCUUGGAGAAGGAAGAAGAAAUCACGUCGUAAAGGUGAGGGCAUCUUACAAGUUCUGAGCUUUCACUUUGUAUAGAUUUAGGGAAGUUGAACCAUUCAUUCAUGUUUCAUAUAAUCUUUAGCAAACAAGAACAAGAAGCAAGAUUCUGAUCUGCCUUUGUUCAGCUUGAGUAAGAUAAUCAAGGCCACCAGUAACUUUUCAAUCCUCAAUAAGCUAGGACAAGGAGGUUUCGGUGCAGUUUACAAGGUAAAAACUCCAAUAUCAAAACAACAAUCAGCAAUGAUAUAUGAACAGUAAGUAAGUGCAUCUGACCUAUGAAUUAAAAAUGAUAUUCAGGGUGUGCUUGAUGAAGGAGGAGAAAUAGCUGUGAAGCGGCUUUCAAAGACAUCAAAGCAAGGACUUGAUGAAUUCCAGAACGAAGUUAAAUGUAUUGCUAAGCUUCAGCAUAGGAAUCUUGUGAAGCUUUUGGGAUACUGCAUUCAAGGAGAGGAAAUGAUGUUGAUUUAUGAAUACAUGCCCAACAAAAGCUUGGACUCUUUUUUAUUUGGUAGGCCCUUCUCAAGAUUAUAUAAUAGCACACACUUGAUUAAAUCAUUAAAAUACGUAAUACAAACUUAAAAAGAAAUUCCUUUUUUUUUUUUUUUGUGGCAGAUGAAAACAACUCCUUGUUACUCGACUGGCGUCAACGCUACCACAUUAUCAAUGGGAUUGCUCGAGGUCUUCUUUAUCUCCAUCAAGAUUCCAGGCUUAGAAUAAUCCAUAGAGAUCUAAAAGCAAGCAACGUUUUGCUUGAUUCCAACUUGAACCCAAAAAUAUCAGACUUUGGCUUGGCUAGAAUGUUCAAAGAAUAUGAGACCGAAGCUAACACAAACAAAGUUGUUGGUACAUUGUAAGAAGCCACUAAUCAUAAUGCAUGUGUUGUAGCUUAACAUAUCUUCUAUAUCUAUCAUUCUACACUUACAUACAAAUAUUCUGCAGGGGUUACAUCUCUCCAGAGUAUGCAGUGAAUGGGCUUUUCUCAGUGAAAUCAGAUGUAUUUAGCUUUGGUGUUUUGGUGUUGGAGAUUGUGAGUGGGAAGAAAAACAGAGGAUUCUCUCAUCAAGAUCACCAUGAUAACCUUCUCGGGCAUGUAAGUUUGGUGAAAAUAAUCUAAUUCCCAUAAUCAACAAAUAGAUCUUAUCAGUAAUCUAAUCUCUUAUUGAGCUUCAAAAUGGUUUAGGCAUGGAGACUUUACAAGGAAGACAAACCUCUGGAGCUGGUUGACACAGCCUUAGGGGACUCGUGGGUUGUUUCUGAAGUAUUGCAAUCAAUACAUGUUGGUUUAUCAUGUGUGCAACAACAUGCAGAUGAUAGGCCAAUUAUGUCUUCUGUGAUUCAUAUGUUGAGUGGUGAGGGUGCAUUAUCUCCGCCACAACCACCUGGCUUUUUCACACAAGUGGCAAAGCCUGAAGAUAAGUCUAACUUAAUCAUACCAGAAGUGUUGGUCUCAGUCAAUGAAGUCACGAUUACACAAUUUGAUGCUCGAUAAUUACAUAAAGGUGUAGACCCAUGACCAAGUACCUGAUCCACAUCCAGUGAUUUGCACACAAAGUGCAUUUCUAUUUCGUUUCCUCUUGGUAUUGUUAUAAAUUCAAUGUGAUUAAAGUAUAGGGCGUAUAGAAACCCAAUCCUGAUUUGGAACUUAAUCUGAUCUAGUAAUGCAGUAAGCUACUUUACAAACUAAGAUUCAUUUCUGUAAGUCUCUACCCAUGGAAAUGAUAGAAAUGAUCAUCACUAGACCUAUGCUACAAACCAUGGAAAUUCACAUAAACCAACAGCGCUGUCACACCAGCUGUUGAUAAAAGUUAACAUCUUGAUUAACCACAAUUGAAAGGCGGAAAGAGGCUAUAACAAUAAAAUAUUCGAAUUUAUGGUCUUGCAAACUACAUGUUUUCUUUAAGAAUUUUCAACAAACACGUAAUUGGCAAUGUAGGUUACAGUCAGCAAUCGGAAUCUAAUCAAGAUUGGGAAAAUUGCAGCACAGAUAAAAUGUGAUGAUUCAGAGAUUACCUUAUUAUCUCAAGCAAUUCCUUAUUCAUUCCAUCUUACAGCUCCCUCACAGCUAACAAUCAAUAUCAAGAUCAGGUCAAGGAGAACGGGUACAGGAUAUAGGGUGGCAAACGUAAGUGUCAUUGGUUGAAACAGGUUGAGUGCUUGAACCUGAUAUAGUGUGGUGUCGACUUGUUUUAUUUUUGUGUUGCAACGAGUUUAGAGUUUAGAACUCGUAAUUACGUAAUGAUGAAGAGUUGAAGUAUUAAAUAAAUUGAAAGAGUAGGGAAAGAAAAUCAAUCAAAAUAAGUUUAAAGGAAUUAAAUCAUAUUGAAAGAGAAAUUAGCGAUUAAGAAAAGUAAACAAGUGGCUAAUUAGUGUUUUCUACAUUGUAAUUGAGAAAUGGGUAGCCGUCAAUUUUUCAGCCAAGUGUGAUGCAUGUUAUCUUGCGCCGGAGCUCAUAAAUUGUGGAAGAAAUAGAGGUGUCGUAGGUCAAAGUCAAAGGUUUACUUUUCUUUUCUUUCCUUUAACUUUGCAUUUGAGUUGAUUUUGAUUUUUUUAUUUUUGCUUCUCAGAUUUUUGAUCGCCCAUCUUCACUAAUGGAAGAAGACCCACAUAAUCCAAAAUUUGGACCUGUAGUAAGUGCAAAAGUCCUUGGUGCCCCUCAAUUUCUCCUUUGCAUAUUGCCAGAAAGAAAAAAUUCUGGCUUAUAUGGUAUAAAAUAUAAAUUCUAUUUUAGCAAAUAUAAAACAAUUUUAUGAGAUGUGGGAUUUUUAGCCCUAAUUUUCACUCACUAAAUUGUGCACGUAGCUCCUUCGGUUAAGCCAACAUGCUUCUCUUCUCAUCUUUGGCUAUGUAGAAACCAUCGACAAAUUGUAGGUAUGGGUUUGUCGAUCAUCAAUUCCUCUUAUUUUGCUUCUUUUAUGCCCUUCGAUUUAUGAGUCCAGAGGCUAUAAUUUUUUAUGUUCCACUUUUGAUUGUUAUUGAUGUGUUUGGUUUUACUUUUCUAUUUUACCAACAUUACGAGAUACUUAUUUUGCAGUAUCAUAUCGCCGACAUUUGACCGUCAUAUUUUGAUUUGAAAGGAAUAUUUAAUGAUCGUUUUUUAGCAACUUUCUUUGGUUUGAAGUUUUUUUCCCCAUUUGGGAUUAAUUGUCGUUUCCAACUUCUCUAAAAUUACACAGAAAGUUAAUACAUGGCUUGAUUUUGAAUGGUUUUGCCACUUUCGACCAGCUCAACAUCCGUCCAAUUAGCUUUCUUAGUCAACGCCGACCAUUGAAGUGGAAAGUACCAACGAAUUUGUUUAGCGUCUUGUAGAUGAACUUACAUCGGUUUCAAUUGUUUGUUUUAUUUUGUAUUUGAAGAAACUCACCUUUGAACUCCUAAUUUGUACAGAGGAACAAUGGUUUCAACCUGAUUGUACUCUAUAAGUAUAGUUUUUUGGCGUUCGACAACUCGCUUGGACUUACAGGUUAGUCAUCUCUUUGUGCAAGUUAUUCUACCAGAGUAGUCAAUUUGUAAAAAUUGAUGCAACACUAACGUCAAUUUUGUUCCUAAUUAGAAAUAAUCCAAAACAAUUUCUUACCAUACCUUUAAUUCAUAAAUUGAUCAUUCUGUUAUGUGAUACUACUUGAUCAGGCAACUCCAAUAUUCACAUCCACAUCAACAGAGAGCAGCUUCACAUAUAUUUUAGUCAACUAGCCAUCAAGUUCAUCUGAUUCAAGUAUUGGUGUUACAAUCGUUUAUAAAUCCAGUUAACAAUGAACACCCUUACAGUUAACAUCAAAAAACAAUAAACUGUAUUAAUCUUCUUUCUUGUGCUUGAAAUAGAAUCAAAAACUUCCAUUAAUGGUGCUACAUCCUGUAGCCUUGGCAUAAAUUUAGACAAUGUGAUAGUUAUUGGUUAUUUCUACAGGAAGAGAUAGAAAACAAAAUACAACUUGCAAUGAUUUGGCUAUAAAAAUUCUUCAAAGAUAUAAUUACUCUAUCUCAGUAUUGAAAACAACAUCAAAUCACCUAUCUGGAGGUAUCCAUUCUUUGCUACUUCACAUUAUUUGAAAUUUGUUUUAUAAAAUCUAAGGGUAAAAUAGGCAUUUACCCUCUUUCAGACAGAUUAUCAACCUGGAAAUGAAAGAAAAAAAAUAUGUAUACAAUAUUUUCCACCUGGAAAUGAAAGAAAAAAAAUAUGUAUACAAAAUUUAUAGAGAUCCAAUUCGAUAAGCAAGGAAGGAUAUUAGGGGCUGCAGUCAGACUUAUGUUCNUGUUCUAGAAAGAUCACAUGUUUUCCAAGUAUCUGACCCCGAGAGAAACUAUCAUUCCUUUUACAUGCUUUGUGCAGCACCCCCAGAGGUAACUUCAAUUAUUCUAGAUUUUUCUAUCUACCUUUUUUUUAUAUUUACAAUGUAUCUAAGAGUAUCAAUAAAUGUUUCCAGGAUGCAAAGAAAUUUAAAUUAGGAUAUCUGAGAUUGUUUCAUUCUUUGGAUCCAACUAUUUGCUAUGAAGUAGCAAAUAUUCAUGAUGGAAGAGAAGAGUUGGAAACACGAUUGUUGAUUUUUGAUUUGUACGUUUCAAUGGGGAUUCAAUGUUGAUUUUUCUGAAGCGGUUACUGAGGUAAGAGACGACAUAGUAGCAGUGGUAGCCUCCUAAUGUAAAGUAUAUUAUUAUUUUUUGCAUUUUUCAUUAUGUGUUGACAAUUUUUGUUUUGCAGAGAGUUCACCAACUACAAAGGGUAGGGGUCGUGAUGUUCAUAUAUCAUCUAGAGAAUAGAACCGUAUAGCAUUUCCAAGAUAAAUGGUCAACAAGAACAGAGCAGCAACCUUUAACAAAGUAGCAACCUUUCGGUCAACAAGAGGAAUCAUUAGAUUUUGUGAUUCGUGUCCCGUUGUAACGAAAAAGCUGAACGUCAAAUACAUGAAAUGGAAUCAUCCAUUGUUUACAUUUAUAGUGUCUGGUAUGCUGGAAUGGAAUCAUCCAUUCCAUCGGAAUGACAUGAAAAAAUGUUUGUUUCUCUUAACAGAAUGGAAUAGGCUAUUCAUUAUGGUGUCCAUUCCAUUCAAUUCAACUAAACACAUUUUUUAAUCAUGAAACAAGUGGAGGUUGAUGAUCUUCAAGAACUGAUAUUACCUCAAGAGCACAGAAUACCAACAAAUAUUACAUAGUAUUUCCGAUGAGAUUCCUUCUGCCAUCUUUUGUCUUUAACAUAUUUUACGACUUUUUGACAUAUUUCAUUUUGUUGCUUUUACAGAUUAUGGAUUAUAUCAUCAGUAUUCAAAAAUUUUGUAUUAGAGAGCAUUCAACAAAAGUAGCAUAUCAUGUACUCUGUAACAAAAUUAGCGACCAACUGUAUACUUAUAAAACAACAUAAGAGUUGUACAAUUUUUUUUUUGAGGAACGUGAUUCGUUUGCAAUCAACCGAUGGCUUCCAACCCCCGCAACGCGGGGAAGCUUCACUAGUUUCUAUCAAUAUCUAAUAACCUUAAGCUACAAGUCUUAUCGUCUAAUAAUACUAGGUUAUAACCCAUGAAAACCACGGGUAAAUUUUUUUUAAAACAUUUAUUUUAUUAAUAAGAGUUAAGUUUGUUUAAAACUUUUUGUAUUGAUUAUUUAAAAUUAAUAUACAUUUAUAAAACAUAAUAUAAAAUUGAGUAUAUUGUAAAUGAUUUAUAAAACAGAAUAUAAAUUUGAAUAUAGUUCAAAGAGAUACACUAUGAAUAAUAUAAAUGACAUUGAUAUAUAAAAGAUAAAAUAUAACAAAAAUGUAAUAAUAAUAAAUAAAAAAACACAAUAGUUUGGCUGUAAAAACUACGAAUUAUUUAUAAAUUUUUAAAAAAUUCCUUAUAUACAACAUUGAAAAUUUUAUUUGUAAGUCUACCAUCCUUAUAAAAAAUUAACAAUUUCAAUCAUUCUCUACUUUGAACUCUAGAUAAGACAACAUACAACUGUCAAUAUAAAAAAACAGGAUCUUUGAGAUAUAGACCAACCUUCGAUAAGACAACAUUCAAGUGCACACAUAGAGUGAUACAUAAUUAAAAGAAAUUACAUGCAAUACAACUAUCAAUUAGAAAAAAAAGGUAUGAAUUUUCUGCCUUCCCGAUUACAACUUAGCAUUUUAUAUUACAUACAUUGGUAUUUAGAAUUAACACAUAUCGAUUAAUGAUGAUGCAGAGAUAGAGUGAUACAUAAUUAUAUAAAAAAAUUAUACGCAAUACAGCUAUCACUUAGAAAAAAAAAGGUAUGAAUUUUCUGCCUUUCCGAUUACAGAUUACAGGCUACAGAUAUAGAAUUUUCUGCCUUUCCGAUUAUUUAGAAUUAACACAGAUCGAUUAAUGAUGAUGCGGAGAAAACAUUACAGAUUACAGAUACAUGGUAUAUUUCAAAUUCAACAUAGAUUAUAUGAAUGAUAUGGACAUUUCCAUUGUAUAAGAUGAUGAAUAUAAAAUACUAACCUGAUAUUCGACAGGAAUUUACUUUGAAGCAAAGUAAUAUUGUUUCUUAGUGAUGAAGAAGUCACCAAAGUUUUGAAAACCAGUUUUUUAGUUGAACCGGUAUGGUGAGCGGUUCCCGGUUCGACCGCCGAGUCAACCGGUUUCUAUAUUUUUCAUGUCUUUUCUUAUUUUCCUACACAUACAUACAUAUAUAAUUCAUAAAUUUUAUGUUUACAAGUUCAAACAUUAAAAAUACACAUACAAAAAAGUUGUAGAUGAAUCCAAAUACAUUAAAAUAGCACAUAAUCAUAAGUUUUAGUAUUUUAUAUCAAUCCAUAUACGUCAAAAAGAAAAUAAAAUAUAAUACCAAAACAAGAUAUAGUUUUAAAUGAAUACAAACACAUCAAAAAAACUUUAUAACAUUUACCAUAUAUUUUUAUUUAUAGAAAACUAAAUAGAUUUGAAAAAAAAUCACACAAAGUUUAUUGUGUAAAUGGUUCUUUUUCAUGUGUUUUUUUUCGGUUUAACCGGUUCAACCGGUUUAUUUUGACCGCUUCAACUGGAUUUUCUAAAAACCGGCCGGUUCAAUCCGGUUCAGAAAUCGACAUAAAAUCGGUGAUAGUUGAACCNAUAUAAAACCAGUGAUAAUUGAACCUCUCACUCCACCGGUUCCCGAUCCAACCGGUUCGACCGGCGGUUCAAACCGGUUUUUAAAACAUUGGAAGUCACCGGAAUUAUAGACUUGGUUUAUAUACACACGAAAUUAUGAUAUGUAUUUUAGAAAUGAUUUAGGAUGAUAUCAGUUUCCAUAAAUAUGGAAUGUUGAAUUAUUGAAUAUGAGGCUAAUUUCAGAUUUGAAAAAAUAAUCGGCAAAACUAAUAAAUCCUAUAAACCAAUUUUAUUCACAAUUAAUUCCGAGUUAAUUCCUUAAAUCUUGGAGUUAGUUAGUUAAUUUUGGAUUGAAAUAAUGAAUCCCAAUAAAGAGGGAUUCUUACCAAUUCAUACCAAAUUUAUGUAUAUCUAGUUUUGUAUCAUUUAAAAGGGCAGGAAUUUAAAAGCGUGAGAAAUUUUGUAUUGCAAAGGAAGGACAUCAUGGUAAAAUCACAAUGACCGGAUUCUGCAAUAGGAGUGGCACGUGGAUGAAGGUUUCUUUUAUUAAGAAGGAAGAUAUAAUGGAAUCCCAACCCUAAUAAAAGAAACCAUUUUGUCUACGUGUCAUCUUCUUAGUUCAAAAAUUUACAAAGUAAACUUUCAAUUUUGCCCUUUGCCUUUUAAAUUCGUGUUUAUAAUCAAUUUUUUUUUCUUUUUUUUUUCCUGAAAUUCAAGAACAAAUUUUCUGUCAAUCCCUCCAAACUUCUUGCGUAAAACCCUACCGCCUCCCAUCAUCUCUAGAGCAUUAUCGCCACUAGAGCCAUCCUCGCUAUGGCCAUCGUCGGCUUCCGUGAUUCACCACCGCACUAUCCUUAGUCACCACCAUUGCACUCCUCCAUUAAGAAACCCUAAAUCUGAUGUUAUUCGUCACUCCACCUUUUGUUGAAGAUUUGUCCGAUACUGGAAAAAUUGUUUUAAUUACAUCUUCCGCUGAUUACACUCAUUUAGAAUAGGAAUUUUUGCCAAUUUCUUGCUUGAAAUCGGUCUUCCGUUUCAUCGACACUGCUAUGAUGUCAUCUCUAUUUCUCCGAUGCCUCAUCUAAUUGACACUUUUCGUUCACUAAUGUGUUGAAAUGGUUACAUGAACCCUAAUAGGCUAUGUGAAUGGGGAGAACUUUUGAACCAGAUUUUAUCCAAUGUGGGAAUGUGGGAUUGAAAAGGGUUUCCAGCUACCAUAUUCCCUGUUCCUACACCUAAUACUCUCUCAUCUCAGACAGCCACCGACUGUAACCACCUGUGGGCCUGUGUAUCGCCUACAACUACCCCGUCUGUUCAUCUUCAUAUUUCCAUCCUUGCAAUUGUCGCUGGACUUCUAGGACCAUAAGAGGGGCAUGGAGGAUGGUGGUUGAAAUGGAUCUCCCAAGAGAACAAAGGUAUUAUUUUAUUUCACUUUUCACAUUUUUUUCAUAUAGUAGUGGGUAGAUAUUAUAAUCAUCUUUCUUUAAUUUCUUGGUUUGUUUUGCUAAAUGCUUUAUAUACAUAUGCAAAUAAAUCUUCCACACUAGAUCCUAAAUAUGAGGUGAACUUUUUUAGUGUUGAUGAAUGUUGAACUAAUUCUCAUGUACGUAGGCACAUAUAAAUUCCAUGAUAGUUGCUCUUUCAAAACAAUAAAUUCCAUUAUAGUUGUGAAAAGUUAAUUCUUUACAUAAAAUGUAAAAAAAAGUAAGACAUGCGAUCGAUUAUCUCGUCUUUAUCCUUUUGCUUCAAUCUAUUUAACAUGAAAUUAGAGAUUUAAUAUGUGUAAAAAAUAUGUGUACAUUUUCACAAAUAUUGCUGUAAAUAUUUGUGGGUUCACUUAUGUCGGUUACCAAGAUCAAGAAAUUGGAACAAUCAAUGACCAAAAUAAAAUUAAAAUUACUCAGUCCUGUUUGUGUUUUUCUCCCUUUCAGAUAUUGAUUUAUGAAAAUUUUAGCAAGUUAUUAUAUUUCCCUCGGUUCCAUUUUGUUAAGACUUUAGUGGUCCAUGGAUUUUGUGAUUUACAAUUGGAUAUUUUUCAGCAAACAUAAGAUACUUUAAUGGUUCAUGAAUGGUUUGAUUUUUGAAAAAAAAAAAGUUGUUCUUAGGCUCUGUCAACUUUAUUGAGCUAUAAGGCUGAAAAUUUAUAUUGUUAUGCAUUAAACAUAAAAAAAUUGGUUUUUGAUGUCAAACAUGAAAGUACAUAGCUGUUUUUGUAGUAUAGUGUUUUAUUACAUUUCUUUCCAUUAUAGCAAGAAAUAGUAAUGUACAUUUCUUUGGGCCUCACCUUUAAAGCUUGCAGCACUUAAGGUGUCUAUUAUUAUUAUUAUUAUUAUUAUUUUAUUUUAUUUUUUUGUUAUAGAUUAGUGCUUUGACACAGUUGAAUGUCAAUGAAAACUUAUCAUACAUGUACCUCAUAGAUUAACACAGAGAAUACGACUCGGUCAAUUUUUUUUUUUGCUCUUAUUUUAAGGUUUUAUAUCAAAUAUGGUCUCUUCAGACUUUAUGAUUAGUUCACUACUUUCUUUUGCAUUAUUAUGUAAGUAUUUAAUACAUCUUUAUUUAAAACUAAUGAUGAGUUGAUGGGAUUUUGGUUAAGUUUAUUACUUACUGUUAUACCUUGAAUCUCAUGAUAACCAAGUGUUUAAAAGAAUUGACUUUAUUGAGAAAUUAAUCGAUAAAGUGCAACGGUAUGCAAAUAAUGAGUUUGAAUUAAAUAACAAAUGUUUUUUUUUGUUUGGUUAAAUACAAUAAAUAAUAGUGUACGUUUGUUGCUUUUGUUCUAAGGGCUGCUACUUUUAUUUCAUACAGUUUGACAGCUGGGUCAUAGCAAAUUAGGGCUAUUGCAAAGAGGACUAACAACUUCAGUUAUGCUAUCUCAUNNNNNNNNNNNNNNNNNNNNNNNNNNNNNNNNNNNNNNNNNNNNNNNNNNNNNNNNNNNNNNNNNNNNNNNNNNNNNNNNNNNNNNNNNNNNNNNNNNNNAUUCUCAUGUACGUAGCCUCAUAUAAAUUCCAUUAUAGUUGCUCUUUCAAAACAAUAAAUUCCAUUAUAGUUGUGAAAAUUUAAUUCUUUACAUAAAAUGUAAAAAAAGUAAGACAUGUGAUGGAUUAUCUCAUCUUUAUCCUUUUGCUUCAAUCUAUUUAACAUGAAAUUGGAGAUUUAAUCUGUGUAAAAAAUCUUUGUACAUUUUCACACAAAUAUUGCAGUAAAUAUUUGUGGGUUCACUUAUGUCGGUUACCAAGAUCAAGAAAUUGGAACAAUCAAUGACCAAAAUAAAAUUAAAAUUACUCGGUCCUAUUUGUGUUUUUCUCCCUUUCAGAUAUUGAUUUAUGAAAAUUUUAGCAAAGUUAUUAUAUUUCCCUCGGUUCCAUUUUGAUAAGACUUUAGUGGUCCAUGGAUUUUGUGAUUUACAAUUGGAUACUUUUCAGCAAACUUAAGAUACUUUAAUGGUUCAUGAAUGGUUUGAUUUUUGAAAAAAAAAGUUGUUCUUAGGCUCUGUCAACUUUAUUGAGCUAUAAGGCCGAAAACUUAUAUUGUUAUGUACUAAACAUAAAAAAGUUGGUUUUUGAUGUCAAACAUGAAAGUACAUAGUUGUUUUUGUAGUAUAGUGUUUUAUUACAUUUCUUUCCAUUAUAGCAAGAAAUAGUAAUGUACAUUUCUUUGGGCCUCACCUUUAAAGCUUGCAGCACUUAAGGUGUCUAUUAUUAUUAUUAUUAUUAUUAUUUUAUUUUAUUUUUUUGUUAUAGAUUAGUGCUUUGACACAGUUGAAUGUCAAUGAAAACUUAUCAUACAUGUACCUCAUAGAUUAACACAGAGAAUACGACUCGGUCAAUUUUUUUUUUUGCUCUUAUUUUAAGGUUUUAUAUCAAAUAUGGUCUCUUCAGACUUUAUGAUUAGUUCACUACUUUCUUUUGCAUUAUUAUGUAAGUAUUUAAUACAUCUUUAUUUAAAACUAAUGAUGAGUUGAUGGGAUUUUGGUUAAGUUUAUUACUUACUGUUAUACCUUGAAUCUCAUGAUAACCAAGUGUUUAAAAGAAUUGACUUUAUUGAGAAAUUAAUCGAUAAAGUGCAACGGUAUGCAAAUAAUGAGUUUGAAUUAAAUAACAAAUGUUUUUUUUUGUUUGGUUAAAUACAAUAAAUAAUAGUGUACGUUUGUUGCUUUUGUUCUAAGGGCUGCUACUUUUAUUUCAUACAGUUUGACAGCUGGGUCAUAGCAAAUUAGGGCUAUUGCAAAGAGGACUAACAACUUCAGUUAUGCUAUCUCAUAUACUUUUGGAAGCAAAAAACUUGAAGAGCACUUUGUUAAUAGUUGCUCAUGCAAUGUUUAAAGCUUGAAGUUGAUUAUGACAUGCUCAACUGUAAUUUAACAUGUUUUAUUAUUUGGUGUUUAUCGAUUUUUACAUUUUUCUAAAUUUAAUGUUUUUAAUCAAGAAACCUUACAUGCAUUUAUUUGUAAAGUGGUAUUAUAAAAGAAUAUAUUAAGAUAAACUUAUAUAAACAAAUUAUGAUUGGCUAAGAGCAUGCUAAACAUAAAAAUAGAAUGAUCUCUUAUGAAUUAAAAGGAGUAAAAAAUUCUACUAUAAAAAUAUAAUAGAAUUUAUUGUGAAAAUGUUUUGAAGUUAAUGGAGAAAUGUAAUGUAUUGUUUUUUUGAUUUCUAAAAUCUUUUUGUUACAAUAUUUUUUUUAAAGUACAGUUGAAACAGGGAAUAUAAAAGUGGGAUGUUAUAAUAAACAAAUAAAUAAUAAUAUGUUUCUUAUUUUUGUAUUUAACAUAAUGUAUUUAUAUUAUAAAAUUGCUUUUAUAUNUUGCGCGUUUGGUCCCUAACUUGUUUUUUUAACUCGGAAGGUCCCUACUAUUUGUUUUUGUUACACACUUAGUCCCUACUGUUUGUUUUUGUUACGCGUUUGGUCCCUGUCUUAACUAAAAACAUUAUUAUUUAAAUAGGGAAAAAUUGUGGGUUAUGUAAGGUAAGGUGGGAGGGUGAGGUUGAAGGUGUGUUUAUUUAAAUAAAUUAAAAAAUUAAUGGCAAAUAAUGGCAGAAAAUUAUUUUUCAUUACUUCCAACUCGAAAGCAUAUGUAAUUAAUUUUUCCCUCUUCCUUUUCUUUUCCUUUGCUUUCCUCAAUUUAAAAACUUGAAACUUUUUCCAUAUCUAAAAGAACCGAAAAUAAUUGCAUAGACGUCAAUAUGUCUGGGGUUCUCUAAAAAGAGCUAUAAUUGGUCUAAAACUAAACAAAGAAAUUCAAAUCUAAGUUAUUUUGUAUUUUGUGCAAAAUUCUAUAGACAUAAGAGAUGAGACAAAUCAAGCAACCAUAACCAUUAAAAAAAAAGUCCACGAUGGCAACUAGAAAAACUGACCAAGUCUUCUAGAACUAAAUUUUAUUGUGUGGUAUUGCAUGGGUUGGGAAAUGCUAUGCCCACAUUGACUAAGUCUUUAAUACAUGAAAGGAGGAGAUUAAAGAGCAUAAGACUCAUAAGAUUAAAUGUCAACUGUAGAGGUGAGAUCAAAUCGUAUGGAGCUUCUUGCCAUGAUUUGGUUCUACUGCUGUGUUGUACUGAAAACUAGUAGUGCAACAGACACCAUGUUUCCAAAUCAGCCUCUCAAGGAUGGUGACACCCUUGUUUCAGAAGCUGAAAUAUUUGAACUGGCAUUCUUUGGCCUUGGGAAUUCAACUUCUCGGUACCUAGGGAUACGGUAUAAGCAUGUGCCAGACAGUACCAUCGUAUGGGUUGCUAAUAGAGAGGUUCCACUUGCUGACCGCAUUGGUGUACUCAAAAUCAAUGACCGAGGAACUUUACAGCUUCUCAAUCUUAGAAAUACCUCAAUUUGGUCAUCCAAAUCCUCCAAACCAGGGACAAAUAUGAAUCCUGUGGCACAGCUAUUGGAUUCUGGAAAUCUAGUCAUCAGAGAUGAUAUCAGUGGUGACCUCAUUUGGCAAAGCUUUGAUCAUCCUGGAGACACUUGGCUACCAGGAAUGAAAAUCGGUGUGGACCGUGUAAUGGGCACAAAAAGGAGGCUGACAUCAUGGAAGACUUCUGAUGACCCUUCAUCAGGUUCUUAUUCAGUUUGGAUGGACAACAUUGGAUAUCCGCAAUUGUAUACUGCUGAAGAUGGAUCAAACAUGCAACCGCAGAGGGUUGGAUAUUGGAAUGGGUUGGGGUUUACUGGGUUGCAUGGUUUGGAACGCAACAUCUUCUACGCGUUUGACUUUGUUUCAACUGAUGAGGAGAAUUACUACAACUUCACACUGUUAGACAGUUCAUAUCUUACAAGGGUAAGAUUGGAUCAACAAGGCAACGUUUUGCAGUUUGUUUGGGACAAGACAGAUGAAAAAUGGAGGGUAUAUAUGGAGCUUUUCGUGGAUGCUUGUGACAGGUACGCUGUAUGUGGUUCUUAUGGAAGCUGUAACAUCAAUAAUGCGCCAGCAUGUGCGUGUUUACAAGGAUUUGAACCAAAGCUGCCAAUGGAAUGGUCCAUAGCAGACUGGUCAAAUGGGUGUAAGCAUAAAAUAUCGGCGACUGAUGAAAAUGGGGAAAACUUCAGGAAAUUUACAAACCUGAAAUUGCCCGACUCAAGGUAUUCAUGGUUUGAUACUACCAUUUCCCUUGAGGAAUGUGGGAAACUUUGUGCUCGCAAUGGCUAUUGUACAGCUUAUGCAAACAUUGAUGUUAGAGGGAGCGGAAGUGGAUGUUUACAGUGGUCAGGUGAGCUGUUUGACAUCAGAGACGCUCCGGAAGGAGAUGUUUCAGGGCAAGACAUCUACAUAAAAAUGUCCAACACCAACAACUUAAUUCGUAAGUGUCCUUCUCCUGCUUGCUUAAACCUCAUGAUGCUAUCUAAACUUACAUGAAUAAACCUGGUACAUUAUACUUUUU
Molecule: long non-coding RNA, 15179 nt
Filed under: Lactuca sativa (garden lettuce)
Lineage: Eukaryota; Viridiplantae; Streptophyta; Magnoliopsida; Asterales; Asteraceae
Description: long non-coding RNA (LSAT_LNC001918)
Source: RNAcentral